This 594-nucleotide ribosomal RNA is filed under the name Triticum aestivum (bread wheat). RNAcentral's name for it is "partial small subunit ribosomal RNA". The record is from RNAcentral. Lineage: Eukaryota; Viridiplantae; Streptophyta; Magnoliopsida; Poales; Poaceae.
AUGACAGUGGAUGGAAGGAAGGGACCCAAACAUGCCACUUUUUCUCAGUGGUACAUGGUUGUUCGGAUAUGCAAUGGAACCACUAAGCUACAAGACUGGUUGGAUCUAUCACUUAAUCCUGCUGUUGUGCCAUCUUCUCUUCUCAUACUUUCAAGAGCUUUUACCCUGGCUGGGAGAACGAAACCCGUGGAUGCUGUUGUAGCAACAGCGUCUUCUUUGCCAGAUGAAGUUAUGGAUACAAUUGGGACAGUAUUGCCAUCUGAAGAUUCAGUUUCUGAGAGGAGGAGAAAACCGAAAUUCCUUGAGAUGCAGGAAGAACUUAUCAAGUGCAACCAUAAUACUUGGCACAAGUACGAAACCUACACAGGCAGAGGAGAGAAGAAGAAAGAGAAAGAAGAGAAGGCAAAACAAAAGAAGGAAGAAAAGGCAAUUCUCACAGAACAGGAGGCCGCUGAAGAAGAUUUGGCUUUAAAGGAAAUGAUUGGGCCUACUGCUAGGGAAGAAGAAGAAAUGAUAGAAGCAAAACAACAUGACCAACAGCAGCUCUGUAAUGUCAGUCGGGCAUUGGCUGUGCUGGCAUCUGCAUCGGUAUGA